UUUUGUACCAUUGGGACUGGUGAGAGCUUCAACGCUCAAAACCCAUUCCACAUUUGUUGGAAUUUGUUUCCAAACAAGAGAUAGGGCUCGACGCUUCUGACACAAGACAGAUGAUACUCUAUGACACAUAUCGUGGUGUCUUGUCAUAUUUGUGCUUGGUCUGAAUAGAACACUACGAUUUCUUUCAAUAGUUUUGCAUACUACGAUCUUCACUUGCUCGUUUUGUAGUCUUUAUGCUUCCGAGAGCACACUACGAUCUCAGAGUUAGCUUCGGCAAAUGUCUGGACCACUCUACGAUCACUGGAGAGGCCCUUCAAGGCAAAUAUACAAUGAUCAUCUCAGCACUACGAUUCUGCCUUAGCUUCUGCAUUUUGUUGAUCAGCCGGAUAAACUACGAUUCUCUUCAAGGCCUAUGUAUUUCUUUUGAGCCAUAGAUCAACCUAAUAUAUUUGAUCUCUUUCUCUAUACAAGUGAACAUUAAAGGCUAAGAUCAACCUAACAAUUUUGAUCUAUCACUAAGUCCUUGUACAUAUAUUCCUAGAAGGACUUUACACAUAAUCAUGAGCAUUUAUAUUAAACAUCAAAUCACAAUAUGCAUUCUUCCAACAAUUUCCUUGUAGCAAGUAAAAUUGGGGAAGGAGGGUUUGGUACAGUAGACAAGGCAAUGCUAAAGGAUGGAUCUUUUGUUGCUGUAAAGCGCGUUAAAAAGGUAAUCAACUCGAGAGAGAGGAAUUAUGAUGUGGUUUGCUAUUUGUGUUAUAUUAUUGAUCAACAAGUUUUGUCAUUCAGCAAAAAUGAAAUAAGUUGUCCAGAGAUGGGCAUUAAGGCAAAAAUGAAACAAGUUGUCCAGAGAUAGGCAAAUUGGAGUGUAUUAACAAG
RNAcentral lists this long non-coding RNA (879 nucleotides) under Panax ginseng (ginseng). Its description in RNAcentral is "long non-coding RNA (PGIN_LNC014076)". Lineage: Eukaryota; Viridiplantae; Streptophyta; Magnoliopsida; Apiales; Araliaceae. The record is from RNAcentral.